GUGUCAGCCGCCGCGGUAACACGAACCGGACAAACGUUAUUCGGAAUUAUUGGGCUUAAAGGGUGCGUAGGCGGUGCGGUAAGUGCGGUGUGAAAGCCCUCGGCUCAACCGAGGAAUUGCGCUGCAUACUGCCGUGCUGGAGGGAGACAGAGGUAAGCGGAACUGAUGGUGGAGCGGUGAAAUGCGUUGAUAUCAUCAGGAACACCGGUGGCGAAAGCGGCUUACUGGGUCUUCUCUGACGCUGAGGCACGAAAGCUAGGGUAGCGAACGGGAUUAGAAACCCGGGUAGUCC
This 292-nucleotide ribosomal RNA is filed under the name uncultured bacterium. RNAcentral describes it as "partial 16S ribosomal RNA". It matches the Rfam family "Bacterial small subunit ribosomal RNA", at positions 505 to 796 of the family's 1533-position model. The record is from RNAcentral.